This 2930-nucleotide long non-coding RNA is filed under the name Hordeum vulgare. RNAcentral describes it as "long non-coding RNA (HVUL_LNC007057)". Lineage: Eukaryota; Viridiplantae; Streptophyta; Magnoliopsida; Poales; Poaceae. The record is from RNAcentral.
CACAAAUUAAGUUACAAGAUCCACACAACAUUUAUUCAAAUAAUUCAGAAGGCAGGGUCCGGCUACGGAAAAGAUAAACGAAAAAAGCAAUAUUCCCGCCUCACUAGGCCCACGAUCACCACCAAGGACCUCUAGUCAUCGGGGUGCAUCACGUACAUCCGGCCACUGUCCUCGUCAAACUCCCACUUCAGCUGGGUAUCCUCGUAAGCAUGUGCAUCUUCAAUAUGUACCUGUGGGUGGUUGUUGUAAUCUAUGAGCCACAAGGACUCAGCAAUCCCAUGACCAUGGUAUCGAAUCUAACUAAGUUGUUGGGUAAUGAUGGGGUACGUGUUUGAGUUUGUAGCUGCACUAAGCAUUUAUGGUGGCUAACUUACGAUAACAAGAUGUAAUUUAGUGGUCUACGCAUGAAGUUCGUGACUAAGAAUAAUCACUAAGUGAUCCUGAACACCUACUUACGUCAGUCAUAACCCCACCGUGUUCUUGAUCAGAGAUAGAACUCUGAAGGAAACAAUCACGGUUACCCACGUAGUUGCCAGGUGUUAUAAUUAAGUUACUUCAAGUUAUCUAGAACCAUAUAUUAACAAAGUUUCCAUGUUUGCCACAUAACCGUGGGCACGACUUUCCGAAAGAUUUAACCCUGCAGGAGUGGUCCAACCAAUCCAUCACAAAUUACCAUAGGCUGCAUAGAAGUCCUCGAUAAUGAAACUCGCGACCUCGUCGGAAUCCUUAGUGGAGAACCUCAACUCUAAGAAAAACCCAAAGUCUCACCGGAAUCCCAAUGCACAAGACAUUUUGUAAAAGGUAAAACUAAUCCAGCAAGGCCGCCCGUCAUGCCGACAGACCCGAUAGGAGCCGCGUAUCUCAUUCUCAUGGCAUGACCGAAUGAGCUAGACAUCGGGUUGGCUCAAACCCCGGGUGACCAGGGGGUGCCGGACAUUGCUCGGGUUGGACCAACACUCAUGAGGAGCACUGGCCCAGGUUGUUGCUUAAUUUCCUCAGUGUAGCUAUUCCCUAUGCUUUUUAUUAAGUUGUUAGCAACUAUAGUACUAAAGUUGGGCCUUGUAGAAAAAUCUUUACACUAAAACAAAUUAUCAAGGGCGUCCCCAUAACAACCCGGAACGUGUUAGGAGCGCUCAAUUAUAGAAUAAAACACCAGUAGCCAAAACUAGGGCGGCAAAAGAGGAACAAAUCACCUAGCAAAAGGCCAGACCUUCCGCCCUUUACCAAGUAUAUAGGUGUGUUAAUUAAAUAGCAUUUAAAUAAGGUGAUAACCAAAUUUCCCAUGUCAUCACAUGGACCACCUUGCACCUGCAACUAGCAAUGCUAUAAAAUGUUUAAGCAAGCACUAACUUAGCCAAACAAUAUUUGCUAGGAGGUGAAGGGUUAGGGGUUUCAUGGAAAUGUUUGGAGGCUUAAUUAUCAGGUGGUAGGCAGCGAUAAGUAACGAUGGAAACGAUUCAACUAGGCAUAACAAAGCUAGAAACAGUGUCACGGUCACGAUCAUCUUGCCUGUGAGAUUUUCGGACUAGAACUGCUCUUGAUCUUCCUGAACGUACUCAAUGAAAUCCUCGAACUUGUUCUCAGCACCCGUUGCUACCCAAAAGAAAUAAGGAACCAAUAAACACCAGCAAGUGACAAUGCUACAAGCAAUAUGAUGCAUGUCUGGCAUGAAACGAAGCAUGUCAUUUCUAUACUUGUCAUCUUUCAUGCAUUACUUGAGUUAUUAAUAUUCUGGACAGAACCUCAAGUUAACUUAUUAAGACAUGCAUGAUCAUGGCAGUAAUGUAUGCAUCAUGAGAAAAUGGUGCAAAAACAUAUAAAGAACGUCGCGAACCGAGUUAUGGAACUUCCAGAAACUAUAAAACAAGAUACAGAAGCCUAUGGAGACAAAACAACAAUAAACCAGAUGCUAUGGGCAUCCAAUUGUAAUUCCACGUGUGACAUUGGACUAAGCACAAAAUUCCAGGUGGAAUAGAGCUAAAGAUCAUGCAAUUCCAUCAAGCACAACUCACACAAAGGCCAAAACAAAAUAGCACCCAAUCUGUCCAAUAACAUCAUCUUACCACAUUACUCACACGAAUAAUGGUAGCUACACCCAUCCAACUAUUUCAACCAAGGUCUAAAAUCAAAGCUAUCAAACAGUACUACAAUACCAAACAAUAUAUAAUUCACUAGGUACAAGCAUCAAUGUCUACCAAGCUCUAAACAUGGCAAAGAAUCAUAACAUUUCAGGACAUAGUGUCUACCGAGCUCUAAACAUGGCAGUUUAUAACCUGAAGCAUUUUGACAGCAACAAAAUAUCAUGCUACAACCAACCUCAUGGCAUAAAAUAUAACAGGGUGAUAGAGGAUCCCAAAUUCUACAAAUCACCAGUUCAUAGCUUGGGCUAAAUACCCACACAAAACUUACUAGCACCAAAGUAACAGGGCAAGAGAAUAAUCACAGAAUCCGAGACUUAAUAAAACUAUGAUGCAAGGUCCUAUUGACAAACUUGUGGAACCAAGUUGUAUAGGAGUUGAAUCACUAGAAUUCAUGCCAUUGGUGCAAUCACCAAGGAUCAACACAUCCAUGGAAACCAUCACCACAAGAGGGGAAGAAAUUACCACUUCCAACACUUAGUAAAAUUCUAGCAUGUGAAUCUGCAACAGAUUUGUAGCUACUUGACAACAACGAAUCCACUUAGCUACAAUAUUAUCAUGGCAACCAAAAUUACCACGGCCUAGUACCCACAAAAUGCUAGAACUUUCAUGCUGACACAAACUCCAAAGCAUGCACAUAAUAAUUACUACAAAAUUCACAAAAUGCCACCUCAUCACAAAAUAGCUGUUUCGCAAACUUGCUCAAAAGUGAAAUCCAACACCACCAUUGGAUUCCUUGGGAAAUUCUACCGAAAACCAUCUGUCAUACCCGUAUAUUUUUGUAGAGAAAAC